AGAGUUUGAUUAUGGCUCAGGAUGAACGCUGGCGGCGUGCCUAACACAUGCAAGUCGAGCGAAGCGCUUAUUUCAGAUUUCUUCGGAAUGACGAAGUUUGUGACUGAGCGGCGGACGGGUGAGUAACGCGUGGGCAACCUGCCCUGUACAGGGGGAUAACAGUUAGAAAUGACUGCUAAUACCGCAUAAGCCCACAGCUUCGCAUGAAGCAGUGGGAAAAACUCCGGUGGUACAGGAUGGGCCCGCGUCUGAUUAGCUAGUUGGUAAGGUAACGGCUUACCAAGGCGACGAUCAGUAGCCGACCUGAGAGGGUGACCGGCCACAUUGGGACUGAGACACGGCCCAA
This 346-nucleotide ribosomal RNA is filed under the name uncultured bacterium. Its description in RNAcentral is "bacterial SSU rRNA". It matches the Rfam family "Bacterial small subunit ribosomal RNA", at positions 8 to 334 of the family's 1533-position model. The record is from RNAcentral.